GCAUCCCACUCCAAUAUUCUUGCCUGGAGAACCCCAUGGUCAGAGGAGCCUGGCAGGCUACGGUCCAUAGUGUUGCAAAGAGUGGGACACAACUGAAGCGACUUAGCACACGUGCACAUAAUCCUAAGAGCCCUCAGAGGUGGUAUGCAUGAUUCCCUUCAUUUUGUAGGUGAGGACGGUUCAGUAACUUCUCCACAGUCGAAGAUCAAGUGAGUGAUGGAACCUGGGACUUGGCUUCAGAUUUGUCUGACUCCAGAGUCUGGGCUUUUCCUUUUAAUGGAGGCUUGUUGGGAUUGGUGUGACCAGUCCUAUUGGCCAAGGAAAACUGAAGCAUUUUGUAAAAUGAGGGAGGCACUAAGGCACUUCUUAGAGAGUAAAUAGAGCCUCUCAGAGGGAAUGACCCUAAGGGAGUUGGAAAGUAGGUGUGGGUCAAGAGACAGCGGAGAGGGUGGUUGGUCUUGAUUAAGCCUAACUUAUCUCUUGACCACCAAUAGGGAAAUGGGGGUGGGGAGGGACAAGUUAGUAAGAGGAAAUGGUCCAAGAGCCAAGCUCUCCAGGAUUUUCUCCCAUUUCUCCCCUCAGCAGCCCCCUCUGGACAGAGGCUCAGCUCUGGCUUUGUCAUCCCAUUCUGGGUGCAGAAAAAGGACUUGAUGUAGGAAGGCAGGCUGGCCAUCCAGAGCAGGUUUGCCUCAUGGAAAGGACAUGUGGCUGAGAACAAGGAAGGCCCAGCCAGGAGUGAGGAGAUCUGUGUUCCAGUGCAGCUCACGAUGAAGGGAACCAUCAUGCAUGUCCAGGACCAAGUGGAACACCUGUGGGCUGCGGAUCCCCAGGACGCUCUGGCAGAGGCAGGAUGAGGGCACCUCAGUAGAUGGCCCAGGAAGAUGCCCCAUCUACGCUGUCUUCCAUUCUAGCGCCCUCGUGAUGACCCUGUGCCUGGACAGGAGAUGUGGCUUCCCAACUGCUUCCUUACCUUUGAGGGCCUGCCUCUGUACUGGGUUCCGGUACAAUUUUUUUCACCAGAAGAGUCAAGAUAGUUUCUGUCACUUCUGAGCAAUGCCCCUCACACCCUUCACCUGUCCCUUCUCCUACCCAGCUCCAGUCCUGCAGAAAAACUUUCCCUGAACUCCUGGUAGGGCGGGAAGUCUAAAAUAAAGCUGGCAAACCACCUCCGCACACUUUGCAGCCCUUUUUUCCCCUCAGUAGCUCUCCUGGACUGCCCACUCCGCCAGCCAUCAACACAUCUGGUCAGAGUCGUGGAGCUGGCCUUACCAGAGAGAUGACUGCUUCCUGGCGUUCCAUGGCAUUUGAGCUCAUCAGCUGCCUGAAGAGAAGGGACCUAGGAUUUGGCCCUGGCAGUUCCCAGCCCGAGCCACUCACGCCUCCACCAAGUUCAACAUCGUGGACUUCAUCUUGAGCUCUUCCACAGUUUCAGCAACAGCCUGCCUUAUGGCCUGAAGAGAGGUUAAGGUGGGACAAGGACUCAGGGAUGUGCUCUUAAGUGCUUCCCCAAUUUUUUUUUUUUUGAUGUGGACCUUUUGAAUUUGUUACAGUAUUGUUUCUAUUUCAUGUGGGAUCCUAGCUCCCUGGCCAGGGAUUGAACCCACAACUCCUGCCCUGGAAGGUGAAGUCUUAACCACUGGACCGUCAACCUUCAUUGAGUCUUUACUUUGUGCUGUGUGUAUGGUCCUUGCCUCAGGGAGUUCAUGGUCUGGUGGGGGAAGCAGACAAGUGAACAGGCAGUCAGACUCCUGAACUAAAUGUAAGGACAAUAGGAGGGUCUCCUAGCUCAGUCUGGGUACCAGGAAGACUUCCUGGAGGAAGUGAUGCUGCAGCUGAAACCUGAAGCAUGGGUAGGAGUUAACUAGGCUGAGAGGCUGGGGGCCAACUUCCCUGGGCAGAGGGAGAGCAGGUACAAAAGCCUGGAGGCAGGAGAGAGCACAGAGAGAUUAGGGAACAGAAAAUAGUUCAGUUUAGCUAGGUGACCGUACAGAGUCUUCAGAGUGGGACACUCUGAGUAAUUACACUGGGAUCACAGGUAUAAGUCAGGACAGGGUGCUCCUAAGCACUGCUGGUGUGUGGCUGGGCACGAGUGUGGUGAGGCUGGAGAGUCAGGCGGGCCUUGGGUGGUGAAGGGCUAUGUAAGCCCUCCUGAGAGCUUGGGGAGUAACUGAGAAGUUCUUUGCAGUGGUGAGCCGCAAUCUGAUUCACAGCUUAGAAAAAUGUCUUUAGCAAUUCUGUGGCUGGCUUUGUAGCAAGCUCUAAGGAAGGUAAAAGCCAGGGAGGCAGGGUGAUUCUGUUGGUGGUGAUGGGAAGGCUUCCCGUAGGAGGUGUUGUCUGGGCUGGUCUGGAAGGGGCGGUCGUAUUCUAAUAGGCAGUAGGAGAGAGGAGCUACUCACUAGUGGAACUGAAAGCAGAGGCAGUUUCCCACCUUUCAGAGGAGGGAGGAAUGGCAGGGCAUUCUCAGCUGAGCAAACUGCCCGCACAAAGGCCAGAUGGCUUGGAGACAGGAGCUGUGUUCUGGUGAAUGUGAUGCAUUCCUGGGGGCAUGCAUACACAGAAGAACUAUACGAGAAGGAUCUUAAUGAUCCAGAUAACCAUGAUGGUGUGAUCUGGAGCCAGAGAUAUAUCAAUAACCUCAGAUAUGCAGAUGACACCCAUGACAGAAAGCAAAGAG
Cervus elaphus (red deer) is the source of this 2674-nucleotide long non-coding RNA. RefSeq lists it as uncharacterized. The transcript is spliced from 3 exons. The record is from RefSeq and is a predicted model, not a curated record. NCBI's taxonomy places the organism in Eukaryota, Metazoa, Chordata, Mammalia, Artiodactyla, Cervidae.